RNAcentral lists this transfer RNA (73 nucleotides) under Brettanomyces bruxellensis. RNAcentral's name for it is "Dekkera bruxellensis tRNA". It matches the Rfam family "tRNA". Rfam says of the family: Transfer RNA (tRNA) molecules are approximately 80 nucleotides in length. Their secondary structure includes four short double-helical elements and three loops (D, anti-codon, and T loops). Lineage: Eukaryota; Fungi; Ascomycota; Pichiomycetes; Pichiales; Pichiaceae. The record is from Rfam by way of RNAcentral.
GGGCGUGUAGCGCAGUUGGUAGCGCGUCUGCCUUGCAAGCAGAAGGUCACUGGUUCAAAUCCUGUCUUGUCCA